This 926-nucleotide ribosomal RNA is filed under the name Staphylococcus hominis. RNAcentral describes it as "bacterial SSU rRNA". It matches the Rfam family "Bacterial small subunit ribosomal RNA", at positions 27 to 934 of the family's 1533-position model. Lineage: Bacteria; Bacillati; Bacillota; Bacilli; Caryophanales; Staphylococcaceae. The record is from RNAcentral.
GGAUGAACGCUGGCGGCGUGCCUAAUACAUGCAAGUCGAGCGAACAGACGAGGAGCUUGCUCCUUUGACGUUAGCGGCGGACGGGUGAGUAACACGUAGGUAACCUACCUAUAAGACUGGGAUAACUUCGGGAAACCGGAGCUAAUACCGGAUAAUAUUUCGAACCGCAUGGUUCGAUAGUGAAAGAUGGCUUUGCUAUCACUUAUAGAUGGACCUGCGCCGUAUUAGCUAGUUGGUAAGGUAACGGCUUACCAAGGCAACGAUACGUAGCCGACCUGAGAGGGUGAUCGGCCACACUGGAACUGAGACACGGUCCAGACUCCUACGGGAGGCAGCAGUAGGGAAUCUUCCGCAAUGGGCGAAAGCCUGACGGAGCAACGCCGCGUGAGUGAUGAAGGUCUUCGGAUCGUAAAACUCUGUUAUUAGGGAAGAACAAACGUGUAAGUAACUGUGCACGUCUUGACGGUACCUAAUCAGAAAGCCACGGCUAACUACGUGCCAGCAGCCGCGGUAAUACGUAGGUGGCAAGCGUUAUCCGGAAUUAUUGGGCGUAAAGCGCGCGUAGGCGGUUUUUUAAGUCUGAUGUGAAAGCCCACGGCUCAACCGUGGAGGGUCAUUGGAAACUGGAAAACUUGAGUGCAGAAGAGGAAAGUGGAAUUCCAUGUGUAGCGGUGAAAUGCGCAGAGAUAUGGAGGAACACCAGUGGCGAAGGCGACUUUCUGGUCUGUAACUGACGCUGAUGUGCGAAAGCGUGGGGAUCAAACAGGAUUAGAUACCCUGGUAGUCCACGCCGUAAACGAUGAGUGCUAAGUGUUAGGGGGUUUCCGCCCCUUAGUGCUGCAGCUAACGCAUUAAGCACUCCGCCUGGGGAGUACGACCGCAAGGUUGAAACUCAAAGGAAUUGACGGGGACCCGCACAAGCGGUG